Molecule: long non-coding RNA, 3319 nt
Organism: Perca fluviatilis (European perch)
Lineage: Eukaryota; Metazoa; Chordata; Actinopteri; Perciformes; Percidae
Exons: 2
Source: RefSeq, a predicted model, not a curated record
ACCUUCAGAGAAAAAGCAUUCAGAGAGAGAGAGGAUCAGAAACCACGGAGGGCUCUACUGACUCCACACUGAUCUUUAAGACGGAAGCAAUUUCAAGCAGCAGGGAAGAAAAGCUGGAAAAACAGAGGGACGAAGAGGACACAGACUCAACAAUCGGACAGGACCGACCGCAUCCGUCACACCUGCAUCGGGUGGAAAGACCAACGAGUACGUGAGAAAACCAUGUUUGAAGCGUUUGUCUGCAUGUUACAACAGGGUGGUGGGCAACAUAUGGAGCGCGGACCCGAAAAAGGCCGCUCCCACGAAGGACGUGGUCGAGCCAGAGAGACAAAAUGAUGAGCCCUACAACCCAGACCAGUGUUUGUACUGCAAGGACUUUGGACAUUGGGUAUGUAACUGCCUGAAGAAAAAGCAAAAACCACCUCAGACAGAGGACAACACUUGUCCCUCUGUUUAACGGAGUCCAAAAGCUGAUGAGGAAGGUACUGCUAACACACACACACACACACACACACACACACACACACACACACACACACAUACACACUCACUUCAUGCAAUGAAGAAAUGCUUUGCACUGAUGCACUGUUUUUGUUUUUGCUACUAGGGACAAUUGAUAGGGUUGAAAGGGGUUCCACUCACUUUUUUUUGUUAACUCUGGUGCUACAAACUUGAUUAUUAGAGCUAAAGAUUUGACACUGAAGCUCAGUGGUCAUUCUAUUUGGUCAAUUGAGGCUACAGGUCAAACAGUAAAAGAACAAUUCUCUGUUCCUUUCUCAUGUACAUGGGGAAACUUUUUUGGUGUCUGAUUUAUGUCCACUUAAUUUGCUUGGUCGUGAUUUAAUGUGCACUUUUAAUAUUGAUUCAACCUCAACACCUGAUGGAUUGAGAAUUUCUCGUAAUGAUGCAUCUGGCAUAACCACAUUUGUUAAUUACAGUGUGGCUAAAAUGACCUCACUGAGGCGGCGUCUGUAAUCAGCCUUGCCUCUGACUGACAUGCUUGACUGACAACCAAUAUAGUUUUUUUUUUUUUAGUGCCCAGCUUGUGUUUUUUCUACAUCUCUCAAGGCUGCAUCUGCUUUUUUUCUUCCUUAUUAUAUAAUAAGUAGACAUUUUUCCAAGUGAUAAUAUUGAUAAAAGAACAAAUAAUGCUUUUUGGAGUUCUGUUUUGUGUCACACAGCGCCUCAUUUGUGUCAGUCGGGUCCAUCUCACUCCCCCUCCAGCUGCAGGACCGGUGAAAAACUGUACCAGAAGAUUGACCAUCACAGCACCUCAGACCACAGCACAGCUAGACACGAUAAAGGUUUGUGGUCUGGCUACAGUUCUCGGCCCAGAGGGAAAGGGAUGGUGGACCACUGCUAGCUGUCUGGUUGUGACUUCAGCAUCUGGAGAUGCACUGUGUCUAACCAAAGAGCCAGCAGCAAACCACACGCCCUACCCAAAGCCUGGAGGAACAUUCUGUGAUGAACUGAUGACGCUGAAAUAAGAAGGCUUCGGAGGGGUCAGUCAUAUGACCCCGAGGCCUGCUUCGCCAAAGAAAAAGACACUCAACCCUAUAUGGAGGUACGGACCAGCAGACGGACUGAGAGAAGGAGGGGGGGGAGCGAGAGACCGUCCUGAUCUGACACAUGUGACGCAUUGUGAAGUUAAGUAGCACACAGACUCACAUUCUGAAAAUACACACACUAUGAGGAGAAGAUAAUUAGAAGUUCUUAUGUUUACUUUUAAGAUAAGUAUUCAGUUGGUGUGUCAGAAAAUGUUUAAAGUACAUUUCACUGUUCAAAUUCGAAUUGGAUUGAUGAAAAGUUGAUAAAAAAUGAUCCAUACAAAGACUUCCUAGAAACCUUAAAUUGUAUUUUUCAAGUUUUUUUGCAGUUGCUGCAUCUUUCCUGAGACCUGUUAAAGUUGUGUGAGGUUUAGUGCUGAGAUGGUUUGAAACCAUGAUGAUUAAAACCAGGUAUCAACAACUUUAACACGGAGAUUAUCAUUAAAACUAACAUCUAAAUGAAAAUGUUUAAUGUUGAUGUGACUGCUUAAUGAUGUGCAUUAUGAGUAAUGUACUGAGACAAUGGUAUACACAGUCAUUUAAUAUUUACUCUCAUGUUUACACGAAAAGUAAGAUAUAAGGUAGUUAAAGAUAAAUCUUAUAAACAGUAAAAGAUAAUACUUUUUAUACUAUAAAGAUAAAGAUAAUGAUAUAUAAUAUACUUGUAUACUUUAUAUAUAGAAGGGAUAACAAUUCAGUCAGGAAAAGCUUAGAAGAAACAAGAGCUUUAGAGAGAGAGAGAAGUACACUGGAUGACAGUCUGAGAGACUGGCUCAGGUUACAAGUAGGCGUUUCCAGCGAGGAGGAGUCUGCCACAAGACCUUCUGUCUCUGAGCUUUCAGCACACCAACAUAAAAAACUUGAAUUGACUCAAAUGCCUAAAAGUUUAGAAAAAAACAAGAGGUCGCCUUCCAGGCCAGUUCCUGCUAGUGCCAGAGAGCUAAAUGUACUUUUGAAUUAGGAUAAUGGGUUUCCUAUUGAUGGAUUGUAUAGGAGUUAAAUUUAACAGUUACUUUCAAUCAGAAAUCAAUUAUAUUUGAUCUACUUCUUGCUUUUAUCUGAGGGAAUUUCCCCAGUGUGGGCUAAAUAAAAUCUCUCUUAUGUCAUAUAGGUGAUAAACAAACAGUUGAUUUUUGACUUCAAACACAAAUUAUGUCAUUUUUAGGAAUAACUAAUUCGGAUUUCAAGGACAAAAAAUUUAGUAUCAGAGUUUUGUCAAAUGCUUACAGAUACUAUUGUAAUCUGACAUAUUGGGUAAUGAAGAAUUAGGAUUUUUGUACACAAAACAUGUUUUAUUGUCAUCAAACUGCCCGACAAAUAUAUAGGCUUACAAGUCCAGCUGAAAUGAUUAGUUGCUUAAUCAAUUAGUUGAUUGACGGAAAACUGCUUUGAUCGUGUACAGUUUUCAAAAAUGAGAGGACUUUUCUAUAUUGUUGCUUUUUUGUACCUUAAGUACAUAUUUUUAUGAUACUUUUCUUACUUAGGUGAUAUUUUUAAUGGAAUAUUGCCGGUAACAGAAAAUGUUUACAGUUUGGAAUCAGUACUUACUUUGUCCACUAUAACUAUCUGUAUGAACCUUGUUUAAUUGACUAACCCUAAUGUAGCAAUAUUUUUGAAUCAAUGAUGACAUACUGCAGAUCGGACUUGAAAAAGCAGUGUGUUGAAAUGCUCCUUUCUUACAGAGGCUCAGAACAGCCGAGAAGGGUACUACACACACACACACACACACACACACACACACACACACACACACACACACACACACACACACA